GGGGAUUUAGCUCAGUGGUAGAGCGCUUGCCUAGCAAGCACAAGGCCCUGGGUUCGGUCCUCAGCUCCG
Molecule: non-coding RNA, 69 nt
Organism: Rattus norvegicus (Norway rat)
Lineage: Eukaryota; Metazoa; Chordata; Mammalia; Rodentia; Muridae
Source: Rfam